AAACCGCUUAGGGGUUAAGCCCGAUGAACCUGAAUAUCUGAUGUGAGAAAUUCAAUACUGUUUGUAUUAUUUUAUAUAACACAUAUGGUAUGCACUUUUCUCAUAGUAAGACAUUGUAAUCCAUUGAUGCUAUAUCUCUUCAUUGAGAUGAUUUAACAUACGGACAAAAUGUUUAUGAUUAUUCUAUCAGUGAUAUGUUUACAUGUCAUAUGAAUAAAAUUCGUUUUGUACCUGUUUAAAUAGUUGAUGGUUUUUAUGAUAAUCAUGCUUGCAAUUUAUUUUGCGUUUCGUAUUAUUAAUUUUUAAUUGAUGGUAGCAGAAACGGCAUGUGUUUGAUUAACAAUGCGAUAGAUUUGGGAUGCCUUCGGGACCCGUCUUGAAACACGGACCAAGGAGUCUAACAUAUGUGCAAGUCAUUGAGUAUUUCGUUGAAACCUAAUGGCGUAAUUAAAAUGACUAUAUUUUUAAUUUGGGAUCACAAGUAAUGUUCAAAUUUAUGCAUUACUUUUUAAUCCCGGGGCGUUCUAUACGAACAUGAUGUAAGCGAUUA
RNAcentral lists this ribosomal RNA (550 nucleotides) under Tetraneuromyia bulbifera. RNAcentral describes it as "eukaryotic LSU rRNA". Lineage: Eukaryota; Metazoa; Arthropoda; Insecta; Diptera; Cecidomyiidae. The record is from RNAcentral.